CAAUGGAAAGCCAAAUUUAGAGGCAUUUAACUGUUAAUUAAAAAAUUGAAAUUUCUUUUCUCCACUGA
This 68-nucleotide transfer RNA is filed under the name Octopus variabilis. RNAcentral's name for it is "tRNA-Asn". RNAcentral also lists the same sequence under 1 other name. The record is from RNAcentral. Lineage: Eukaryota; Metazoa; Mollusca; Cephalopoda; Octopoda; Octopodidae.